This 467-nucleotide ribosomal RNA is filed under the name uncultured bacterium. RNAcentral's name for it is "partial 16S ribosomal RNA". It matches the Rfam family "Bacterial small subunit ribosomal RNA", at positions 28 to 507 of the family's 1533-position model. The record is from RNAcentral.
GAUGAACGCUGGCGGCGUGCUUAACACAUGCAAGUCGAACGGAAAGGCCAGUGCUUGCACUGGUGCUCGAGUGGCGAACGGGUGAGUAACACGUGGGUGAUCUGCCCUGCACUUUGGGAUAAGCCUGGGAAACUGGGUCUAAUACCAGAUAGGACCAUGCUUUGGAUGGUGUGGUGGAAAGUUUUUUCGGUGUGUGAUGAGCUUGCGGCCUAUCAGCUUGUUGGUGGGGUAAUGGCCUACCAAGGCGUCGACGGGUAGCCGGCCUGAGAGGGUGUACGGCCACAUUGGGACUGAGAUACGGCCCAGACUCCUACGGGAGGCAGCAGUGGGGAAUAUUGCACAAUGGGCGCAAGCCUGAUGCAGCGACGCCGCGUGGGGGAUGACGGCCUUCGGGUUGUAAACUCCUUUCGCAACUGACGAAGCUUUUUGUGACGGUAGGUUGAGAAGAAGCACCGGCUAACUACGUG